RNAcentral lists this ribosomal RNA (327 nucleotides) under Triticum aestivum (bread wheat). RNAcentral describes it as "partial small subunit ribosomal RNA". The record is from RNAcentral. Lineage: Eukaryota; Viridiplantae; Streptophyta; Magnoliopsida; Poales; Poaceae.
AUGUAUAUUGCAUAUAUGAACUACUCGUGGCAACCGCCAAACACAAGAAAGAUUGUUAGUACUUCUUUUUUUGAGAAACAAAUUGUUAGUGCUAUACUCCACGAUCCUGGUGCUUCAUGCCAUGGCUCCACGGAAUUAUCAUUGACCGGAAGCCUGAUUCUAGCGGCAAGGGUAGUGAAAAUAUGCGAAAAGUGCCUGCAGAGGCCGAAUUCCAUUGAGCUCUUUAUUUUCUUCCAGCAAAAAUACUUUUUCUACACCUUCAAAAAAUCUGAAAAAGUAUACAUGUAUACAUAUAUUUGUAGUAUACAUGUACAAAAUUUCAUGUAG